This 92-nucleotide transfer RNA is filed under the name Desulfomicrobium sp. ZS1. Its description in RNAcentral is "tRNA-Leu". Lineage: Bacteria; Pseudomonadati; Thermodesulfobacteriota; Desulfovibrionia; Desulfovibrionales; Desulfomicrobiaceae. The record is from RNAcentral.
GUGAUUUAAUGAAGGUAAAUGAAGCCUUUCAAAGAGAUUUAAAAUCCCUUGCCCUUCGGGGCGUGCCGGUUCAAGUCCGGCCCUGGGCACCA